GCUCAAUGAUUUUUUAAAUUGCUGUGGUAUUUUGACCUAUUCAAAGGUAAUUGAAAUAAGAUUUUAAUUGAAUGCUAAGAGAAUGGAAUUACAGGAAAUAGACUUUUUUUAGAUUAAAAAUUAGAAUUUUUUUAAUUUGUCGCAGAAACAAUUAUUAAUAUUAAGGACAAGAAGACCCUAUKARUUUAUAAAUUUAUGUUUAUAGUAAUUAMUAUAAAAUAAAUUUUGGUUGGGGCGAACAAAAAAAAAUAAAAAACUUUUUUUUUAUAAAAUSAUYMUUAUKAAUGUUAUAUGAAAAAUACUCUAGGGUACAGCGUAUUUUUUUUGAUAGCUAUAUUGAACAAAAAGUUUGCGACCUCGAUGUUGGAUUAGGAUACUUUUUUAAUGCAGAUAUUAAAAAAAGAAGUUUGUUCAACUUUUAAUUUCCUACUUGAUCUGAGUUCAGACCGG
RNAcentral lists this ribosomal RNA (450 nucleotides) under Rhipicephalus haemaphysaloides. RNAcentral's name for it is "partial 16S ribosomal RNA". Lineage: Eukaryota; Metazoa; Arthropoda; Arachnida; Ixodida; Ixodidae. The record is from RNAcentral.